Molecule: non-coding RNA, 18253 nt
Organism: Rattus norvegicus (Norway rat)
Lineage: Eukaryota; Metazoa; Chordata; Mammalia; Rodentia; Muridae
Source: RefSeq, a predicted model, not a curated record
AUAGAGCUCUGGGUCUUGGCCUUUAUAUAAGUAAAGAGGUCACUUGCAUGAGAAUGUAGGAAGCCCCAAGUUAUAACCAACACGGAAGCUGGAGGCAUUUCUACUAGGGAAUAGAGGGCAAUGCUGUAACUUCUCUGCGGGAAAAGAAUGUGGAAAUACAUCUGUCUGAACCAUGAUGCAGUGGUGUCAAGCUUCCCUUUCUGUAAAGCCUAGGGCUUUGAAGACUUUCCUUGUGUGCUUCCAGAGCAUGGCCUGCUUUCUUGUGACAAGAAGAAAAUUCUAUGGUGAGUUAUAAAGCCUACCAAGGCGUGCGCACGCACACACACACACACACACACACACACACACACACACAAAAUUCCUUUAUCUACCAUUGAUUUUUCUCGUUGUACACUUGAUAACUCACCAUUGAUUUUGGACACUUCCCAGUCACUUUGUAAGCUUUCUCUGCCAAGGGCAAACGUAAACUUGGGCCUCCGAACUGACUGCUGGUCAUCAUCAGUGGCUUCAAAGAUGAGGCUCCCAGGGGCACUUAGGGGAUGGCAGAAGAACAAGCCUGUGUAGUCCUUAGCUAGGCGAGGGGGGUUGUCAUUCACAUCCAUGAGGACCAGGUGGAAAUAUGCUGUAGAACUCAGAGAGGACCCACCUAAGAAAUUGAAGGGUUAGAAUAUAAUUCCAGGCAUCAUUGUCAUCCUUCAUAAGAAGUCAUUUUCUCUUUCCUUAAAAAUAAAAAUCAAUAUUUAAGUAGUUGGGUCUAUUAAAGUAGUAGAAAGAAGAUUUUAGAAUUACACACUUAAUUUUAGUAUUGCUUAAAAUGUUUAAAUGGAACCAACAAAAUGACUUGGUGGGUAAAAGACACUUGAUGCCAAACUUGGUGACAUGGGUUCCAUCCCUAGAAGCCACAUGGAGGAAGCAGAACUGAUUCCCAUAAAUUAUUCUUUGAUGGACACACACACACACACACACACACAUACACACAUACACACACAUACACACACAUAUACACACACAUACACACACAUACACACACAUACACACAUACAUACACACACACAUACACACACAUACACACACAUACACACACACAAACACACAUACACACACAUAUACACACACAUACACACACAUACACACACAUACACACACACAUACACACAUACACACACAUACACACAUACACACACAUACACACACACAAACACACAUACACACAUAUACACACACAUACACACACAUACACACACAUACACACACACAUACACACAUACACACACAUACACACAUACACACACAUACACACAUACACACACAUACACACACACAAAUAAAUGCAAUAAAAAUAUUUUAAAUGUUCAGCGAUAAUACUAAUCAAGUGGUGUGUGUGUGUGUGUGUGUGUGUGUGUGUGUGUGUGUGUGUUCAAAACAACUCUGAACUUUACAGAGAAGAGUGACGCUCAAAAGCUGUGUGACCUAGUUAUGUUCACACAUAGUGCACAGUGGAGUGGUCCCUACCAGCCACAUCCCUGAUCACUUCCCACUGCCUUUCGCAUGCUAACUCAGUGUUCUAAGCUUCAUUUCCUCAGCUGAGAAACACAUGGCUACGUGAAGAUCUUAGUGGAGAUCUCAUUCACACACGGAGAGAAAACAGCAAAUGGUGGCACUGAUGUCCUGCCCGCUGUAGUGAUGAAGACCAAGUCUGUCCUCCUCAUUGUGACCAAUGGUGGCUGUGUGCUCUUGGGCAAAUCAAUUUCUCAAUGCCUUGGUUUCUUUGUGCACAAAAUAUGGUCAAUAGCAGAACUACACAGGCAUCCAGUGUGGUACAAUCGACCCUGACUGUCCCCGCCUGACCUCACGAAGACGCUGCUUGUGUUCCUGUAAACUGUUUCAUGGUUCCUGCUUUGAUUCCAGGAAGCCUUGUUUUCUUGCUUUUCUUCACAGAAACUUCUAUGUCUCUGACUGUUCUUAAACCAAAGACAAGACCACUGAUGUCCUUGAAGUUGUUUGGUCUAUUAACAUUAUUAUUCUUUUGGUGCCAAAUGGAAUAGAUUUUGGCUCAUGGUCACAACCCAUGAGACUUCUAAAACAUGAAAAGCACUUAGAAACGUGUGCAAAGUGAAAUGUUAAUUGUUGUGCGAUCAAGGCGAAGGCACGGCAUCAAGGUUUAGACAGAGACCUCCCUCGGACUUCCUGGAAGCUUUUAAAUCACCAGUUAAACGUACAUCCUGAUGGCAGAAUGUGGCAAGUGGCAGAGACUGAGUUGUUUCAGCAAAGUCUUGUCUAUUCAUAGAUCCCAUCCAAUAAUGAAUAGUCUUGCUGUAGUUGAACGUAGCAAUAGUCAUUUGGGUUUUCUUUAAAUUUUUCCCCCAUACAUUUUUAUGAUUCCUUUCUCUGUUCCCCGUGUCUGCCUCUAAUUUGGGGCUUUGUAUUUUAAAAGUUUAUUAUUUUUUGGUCUAAAACUGUCUGAUAGUCAUUAGUUCUGCUCUCAUCUUUUUGUUAUAAACCAAGCAGAUACAUCACUAGCUAAUUAGAGUCCUUGAUCAGCUCAAGAUCCACAGAAUUCCUACUACAAGAUGGAAAAUUCCAUUUAAAGACACUCAACAUUUUAAUUAGCAACCUUAUCCCUGGAUACCAUACUCUUCCUGUGAGUUUAUUCUUUAUUUUAAUCUUAAAAUUUUCCUGGAACUCCAUGUUCAGAGCCAGUGGGCAACUUGUAUCACAACUGAAUUAAAUAGGUUGCAAGGCUUAUGCAAGGAUGGUCCCAACAUCUUGGCAUAUCUUUACAAUUGCCUUCCUUGCAAAGUUUAUCUUGCUUCAUCAAACCAGCAGAUACCCAGGUCCCCUGACACCUGCUGAAUCAGAAUCCCCAAGGAUGGCCUCCCAGGUGGACAGUCUUGCAUAAAAUGUUUUGUGUUCCAAAAAAUCAUGAGCGCCAAGAGGCUGUAAUUUAAGGCUCUGAGGGUCACUGGCUUCCAGUUUUGUAGAAGCCCUCAAUCCCCUUUGAGGAGGUAGUGAGGGAGGUUAGCUAGGGACUCUAUAAUGUUCCAAGAAGAGGCUCCAGUCCCCACAGAAAACCAGAGCAGACAGCAUCCUUGAUACCCUGCCAGUCUCAGGGAAACUGCCUAGAAGCACAGAUUGGCACAAGUGUUCUCUAACACAUCCACGAGGAAUUGAAAACACGCACUCACACAUUCACACACUCACACACUCACACACUCACACACUCACACACUCACACACUCACACACUCACAAACACACUCACACACAUACUCGUACACAUACACUCACACUCUCACACACAUUCACUCACACACACUCACACACACAUACUCACACUCACAUACACACUCACUCACACUCACACACUCAUGCACACUCACGAACACACUCACACACUCACAAACACACUCACACACAUACUAGUACACAUACACUCACACUCACACACACAUUCACUCACACAUUCACUUACACACUCACUCACACGCACAUACACACACUCACACACUCACACUCUCUCACCCACAAACAUUCACUCACACACUUACAUACUCAUACUCACAUACACACACAGUCACAUACAUACACUCUCACACACACAUUCUCAUACUCACUCACACAUACACAAACACUCCCUCUCUUCUUCCCUCCCCGUCCCUUUUGUACCUGUUUCACCAUGGCUUUACGGUCAUACUCAGCAACAAUUUUUAACCUUCUCUUGCUCUCCCACUCAUUUUUAUUGAUGCCACCCCAUCCCGAUGAUCUGUAAUCUGGUCGUGAUUUGUUUUGCUCACCUACUUCAGUGGCCACCACUUGUACUCGAUACACACUUUCUGUUUCCCUGUCCAGCGGAGCAGUGCUAAAUAUGUCGCCGGUGACGGAGUCGAUUUUAAGCCAACCUCUCUUAUUGUCUUUCAGUGAAUAACUUCAUGAGGGGGAGAGCAGAAGAAAACCUGUUACUUUGCAUGAAAAUGGAAGAUAGUCUGUGCUUCUAGACUCUGACAUAGCAUCAUCAUUUGGGUGAGCUACGGAGCAGAAUCACAGAGUCAACAUCCCAUUUACAUCUCUCUCUUUGGAAGAAGAGCUGUCCUCACAGCAGUGGUUCUCAAGCUGUGGGUUGCAACCCCUUUGAGGAUCAAACAAUCCUUUCACAGGGUCGCCUAAGACCAUCUAAAAACUCAUAUUUACAUUAUGAUUCAUAAAAGUAGCAAAAUUACAGUUGUGGGGUAGCAAUGAAAAUAAUUUUAUGGUUGAGGGUCACACAACAUGAGGAACUAAAUUGAAGGGUUGAAGCAUUAGGAGGGUUGAGAACCACUGCUUUACAGCAUGGUUCUGUGCUGGCUUUAUUAUUUAUGGCAGAGUGACCAGCUCCAGGAGAAAAGUUAUACUUCCCCGACAAUCAAGAUUCUAAACCGAAGUAUAUGUCUUCUGAAACCUUUCAGUACACCACCCUGCUAAGGAAAACUGAGCAGCUAAGGUUGGUGACAUGGGCAGCUGGUGGCCCGGAAAUCCUUUACUAAAGAAACAUCAACUUCAGCACAUAGGGCCAAGGCAAGAAUUGAAGAAUGAGGCCUUUAGAUACAUAGAUAAACCAUUCAAGUGUGGUAAGUAUAGUAUAUAUGCUUAGGAUCACAGAGAGAUUACUUGGACAUAGAAAAGUCUUUCUGAAAAUGCUGACACAGACAAGAAGGAUACCACAAAGAUACACAAGCCAGAUAGAGAAUCCAAGAGCAUCCUGGUGUGUGUACAGUGCAUAGAUAUUAACUGGCAGCAGUAAAUGAGCCUCCACUGAGCCUGGGAGAGCCAAAUCAUACAAGAGACAGCCAUUGAGCUGUGUUGAGUGGAAGGGUAACCUGGCUAAAACUGUGGCUUCAACAGAACUCAUUGGUGGAUGUUGAAAAGACUAAUCUGAAAGGAACAAGUGUUGUCUGAGGAAAGCCAGUGAGUCUAGCUUUUCUGUAAAGCCUCACAUAUGGCUGUGAAGAUGUCUAUAGCUGCAAGCCAUUCAGUCAGUCCUGGAAAUGUCACCUUGAUAACAGGUGACAUGGAUAGGAGUUAAGGAAUUGUGUAUGUGUGCGGGACUUCAAAACAUUGCCUAUAAGUUUUGAAAAUUCUGUUGGCCUAUGUGUCCAGGAAUAGGAAUGAUUAUAAUUAUAUAUAGUUAAAUUGGUUUUCCCAUUAUAUUUUAGCAUGCUGUAUAUGUCAAGCACUGUAUUCAUGUUUGUGUGUGAAUAAUCAACCAGAGCUCCUAGCUACUUGGGAUUCUACCCUGACAGAAGUGAGAAUCCCAAGGGCAGGCUUGGACAAGGAGUUGGACAGUUGGUUUACUUCAUUUUAAAGGCUCACAUUGCCUACAGUGCACGGUCGACUCAGAUGGGAUAUGGAAUGAUAGGAAAGGAGGGUUUCACAACAGAGGUGGCAAUGCCUUGGACCCCAUUGGGAAUAGUCAGAAAUGCCUGGCUUCUGGAUCUGUGGUCAUCCAUGGGCUCUGUAAUAUUUGAAGCUGGGUUGGAUUUGAAUCUACUGAAUAUUGAUGGGCUCUCCAAGUUUACCCAGCUGGAGAGUUAAAUUUCUCUGUCCACAAUGUCGGAGUCAGUAAAGUUAGCUCUUACCACGUCAUGCACCUCAGGGCUGCCUUGAUUACUCCUCAUUCAUUUGCCUUCUGCAAACACACUUUACAGGAUGUCGAUUCUCAGUCUCCCUUGACCACCUCAUCUCCUGAUGGUAACUAUGGUUCUAUACCAGCUUUUGAGCCACCAGAGGAAUUUCCUUAAAUCCUUUUGUUUUCUCUAUACUAACAUGCACAUACCUCCGGCUGGUAAUUUUAUUGAUUUAUUUUAUCUUUUAAUUACAACCAGCAAUUUUUAGAGCAUUCCCCUGGGAAAAUACAGAGGUAUCUGUUAGAUAAUAAUGGGCUGUGGGAUUUGGAUAAUCUGAAUUCCAUCAUGACUUGUGACCUGGGUGUAUAUCGUUGUUUCUACACUGAAUAAUGUAAGAUAAUCCUCACCACUGUUACACCUCAGUACGAUAUGGACAUGAUUUGAGCCUUCUCUCUCCCCCACAAAAAAUGUUCUAUGUUAGAAGCCUCCUUCUCAGAUGGUAAAUUUGCUGGGUACAAGACUGUUGAGAGGUAGGGUCAAGUGGGCUGUCUUUGUAACUUAGGGAAACUCCCUUGCAGGAGUUGUAUGAAUGCAGUGGCUACAGCUUCCUGUCUGCAAUGUGAUCUUUUCCCUGUGCUUGUGUUGCUGUUGUGUUAAUAGUCAUACAAGGCCUUCAAAAGACCCAGGCUGUACUGGUGCUAAGCCGGUAGGUAGAUGUCCAGAGCUAUGAGCUGAAUAAAUUGCUUUUCUUUGUAAAGUUACCCAGCUCCCCACUUUUUGUUAUAGUAAGAGAACUAGUAAUAUACGUUAUGCAAGAAAAUCAGUAAAGCCCAUAUGACCCUAGGUGUCUGCAGGACAGCUCGGUAGGAGGCAAAAGUUCACUCAAAUAUACAGAGAAACUUAAAGACUUGGAAGUACAUGUAUCAGCUACAUCAUGUAGAAGUAUUUGUUUAUGUCCGGGACAAUAUUGUGUAAGACAAGCAAAAAUGCUCUGAGUUCAAGUCCUAUCUAUACUGAUGUACCAUGUGAUCUUUAAAACCAUAUAGGUAGUAUACAAAUGUGUACAUGUGUAUUCAGUGAAUGAAUUAAUCAUGACUGAAGCAAAUAUGCGUGGGGGCAUUUGCACCAAAAAGAAAGUAUUGAGAACGACUAAGACAGAAACAUUAGCAACUCGCCUUGAGCGCUAACACCCUCAGAAUGAGGGGGAAGAAUCUUGCUCUCCAGGGAGAGGAAGAGCCCAGACUCUCUACAUCUAAGACAUUCCCUUUACCUCUAAGGUGGCUUUCUCUACUUCUGGGUUUUUAUCGCUCUACGACUCUAGUCUAUUUUUCCCAAGAAGCUUCUCUAGAGCCCCAACAGUUCAGAACUAGGGCCUGGCCAUGGGUUACCCAAUCUCAGGGAGUGGCGCUCCCACCUUCUACCUCUGCCAGAUCUUAACUGAGGCCUCCAGCAAGAAGACAGAAUGGCCCCUGAAGCCAUAUGUCUGACCCACUGAACCAAGGCCAGAGUCCCUGCUUCUGAUGUCUGUUCCAUUGUCCCAGUCCUGAAGCCAGUGCAUGCUGCUUCUCUGCCUCGCCAGCCCUCCUGCUGGCAAGCAUGCCAAUAGGUCUUCCCAGCCCUGCUGCCUUGUACCUCACAGUCAGGCCUUCCGGAUCCCUGGCAGUCACAGUGCCCACUUUAGUGCCUAUAGCAGUAUCCUCGCUAACGUUGGCUUGGAAUAUUUGCUGGGGAAAUACAGGCACUUCAUUCACAUCCGUCACGGUCAGCUCGAAGGAGGCAAAAGAACUAGCAUUGUACUCUAUGCCAUUCACCAGCGGCUCAGGGUUUUCUGCUUUGAACACAAUGCUAGUAACUGGUUCGGUUUCAAAAUCAAGAGGCUGUGGAGGGAGAGAAAACAAGGGGAAAUUAAUCUUGGAGUGAAUAGCUCCCUUAAAGGAUUUAUUUCUUUUAAAAGUCAUACAAUCUUAACUGAAAUCAUCUUCUCAAGGAAACCAGAACACAACUCUACUUCGUGUGCAUUGGCUUGUCCAGAAAGAGACUCUAACACGGGCCUCCCCAGAUUUAACCAUGGAGCACCCUACAUAUCUUCUCUGCAAAGUCUUGAUUGUCCUCAGACAAAGACACCUAAGAAAAUAUUUCUACUACAGAGAUGUUCACAGGGUAUGGAACAGUGAUUUCAGAACCAAAGACCCAAAAUGCAAGACCCUGGGAGAGGUGAACAGAGGCCAUGCCGGCAGGAGGAUGUUUCUGUUCCACCUGGAUAGAUAGGACCAGGAGUAAGAACAGGACAUUGUUUCUGGCUCUGUGUGAGGGAGACUUUAACAACCAGGCUCCCUAAAAUGGAAAGGAUGGAUUCAGAAAACGGUCCAUUCCGAAUUCUGUAAGUUUUCAAGCAUACACUUAACUACAUGCCCUAGCACUGAAAGAUUUAGCUAUCCUAUGAGCAACUGGCCCUAUGGGACCUCAUAUCUCCCUCUAAGCAGGAGUCCACUGUUCUAUAAGAAAAGAGAGGCCAAGAAGUGAUGGCUCCUGCAGUGUAGGCCACCAUCUCAAGACUCAAGGAUCCCAUAGGACUCUGAACUCCUAUAAACUAAAAUCUAAACAGUGUGUGUGUGUGUGUGUGUGUGUGUGUGUGUGUGUGAAGAUGGGGGCACAUGGACCUUUAAAUUUCCAUUAUUUAUUUGUACGCAUAUGCAUGUUGGUACAUGCAUCCCAUAGUACGUGUACCAAGAUGAGAAGGGUAAGCUGUGGGGUUAGCUCUCUCCUUUCACCAUGUAGGUAAAACUCAGGUGGUCAGGCUUAUGGAGUAUGUGUCUUCGUCCACUGAGCCACCUUGCCAGCCCCAGUCAAGUAGUCAGGUAGUUUUUUAUUGCUCUCAUUUUGUUUUGUUUCGUCAUCAGCUUCUCAAAAGGACCUAAAACACCAAAAACUAGAAAGAACCAAUGCAAAGCCCAAAAGGAUGUUGUGGAGGUUUGAAUAGGCGUGGCCUCCGUAGACUCAUCUGUUUGAAUGCUUGGCCCAUAGGGAGUGGCACUAUUGGAGAUGUGACCUUGUUGGAGCAGGUGUUGCCUUGCUGAAGGCCAUGUGUCACUGUGUGCAAGCUUUGAGGUCUUCUAUAUGUUCAAGCUGUGUCCAGUGUAGCACCCAAUCUCCUCUGUUGCUUUGAAUCAAGAUGUAGAACUCUCAGUUCCAUCCAGCACCAUGUCUGCCUGGACACUGGAAGGCUUCCUACCAUGACAAUUAUGAACUAAAGCCCUGAAAAUGUAAGCCAGAUCCAAUUAAACAUUUUCCUUCAUAAGAGUUUCCUGGGUCAUGUUGUCUCUUCACAGCAAUAAAACCCUAACUAAGACAGAUACUAUGUGUUGAGGAAGCAGCCCUCAUGACUUUAUGUAGGUGUAUUGUUCUCAAAGACUCAAGACCUCUGGGCCUUCUCUUGUAUCAUUCUCUCAUCAGUACGCUGUAAUGGUGACAUCCAUUCAUGAAGUAUAAGACAGACGUAGGUGGCAUUGACUCAGCCUGCCCUACUUACAUCUGAAUAUUCAUUUCCCCCAGGAGCUGAGCAAUACUGGUCUCCUCAUCCCACCACAUAGCAUAGAUAGAUGGGCUAACCUCCUCUGCAACUACAUGAAACUCCAGCCAGGGCUUUGGCUGUGUUGUUCUUAUUCUGUCCAAUUGCUGGCCAUCAGCUCUGUGAGAGGAAGGACUGUGGCCUAGUCACCUCACUUCUCAUUCCUACCUGACACACAGUACCCAUAGUUUAUCAGUUAGGGGGUACAGAGAUGAAGACUUGAUCCUUGAGAGUUUAGAUAGAAGGAAAAUUGUAAUACAAUUGUAUGUAUGUAUGUAUGACUAUAUAUAGUCGUAAUUUGUGAUACAUAUAUAUCACAUCUUUUUCUACAUCCAAUGGGCUAAAAUCCAUCCCUGAGGAAUGGUUGUUGCACUUCAAAGAGCCUAAUCUGAGGUCCAAGCUCCAGAGGAAGUCUCCAGCUACCCCAUCCCUUAGCACUGUGUUAUGUCCAUUACCAAAAUGCUCUUGCUGAGAUAUGCUUGGUUGGCGCUAUGGGAGGAGAGACUGUUAGGCACUUAGUUUGACGUAAAAUACAGAAUCUCUCUUGAUCAUUGUCAAUAGGAGGAUAAGCCUCUGGUACAGCUGUGACCUUCAGGGUUCCAGGAUGCCAGCUGUGUUCUGAGAUUACCUUCCAGUGGUCAGCCUGCCAAAUUGCGACACUCAAGUUCUAUUGUUACAAUGCCUGAGGAACAGAGAGCUGAGACUUCAGGUCCCUAACUUCAGGUUCUACAAUUGCUUGUGUGAUUAUUAGUAACUGGACAUGAAACGAAUUUCAAUUAAUCAUUCAGUCAAGCAAUACUCAGUAUCCUCAUCUGCCAUGUGUCGAGCAAAAUUCUAGACACAGUAAAUACAGCAACACACAAAACAAGGAUCGAGAGCAUUUGGCGAGUGGCCUGGCUCCACUUUAAUGGUACCUAAUGUAUGGCUUAUGUGGAAGGAGAGCUGUGGCUCUCCGCUGCCAUCAUCUCCCUAAAGGACACAAUCACUGCACAUGGUCAGGUUAGCUGUCGAUGCUACAUGAGAAGAUACCACAAAGAAAGGAGUGACAUGCAGUUGUUUACUGGGACAGACAUCCCCUAUCUUCUCUGAAUCCCCAGUGUGGAGGGAGGAGAGAUGGCCUGGUCCUGCAGCAAAGACUCACACCACCAUGCUUGGCAGACUAUCCAUCCCAAUUCUGAAAACACCCCUUCCUCCACCCUUUCCUUCUUCUCUCUCCAUGUGGAGAGCCAGGAGUAGGAGGAGCACAGGAGAAGCUGUGAUCAUAUGCUCUCCAAAUGUCAGACUUCCACAGACGGCUAUGGGUAUUAUACCCUGAACUCUGCCGAACCCAGUAGGCACCCUUGCCAGAUGGGGUACAAAUGGCAAUGCACACUCUUUUCUUGUUGUGACCAAAUACCUGACAAGAGGCAGCUUAAGAGUUACUUUUGCUUACAACUUAUGAAGAGACUCAACCCAUCUCAGCAAGGAAGGCCUGGCUGGUCACGUGUCUGCUGUCAGAAAGCAAAUAAAUGCGUAGGAAGUAAGGCUGGCCCAUAAAACUUCUAAACUCUCGCCAUAGUUUCUUAGACAAAGCUUCACCUCCCAGAGGAUCCAAAACCUUACAAAAUAGCACCACCAGCUUGAGGCCAACUGUCCAAACAGGAGACUAAGGGCAACAUAUCAUUCAAAUAGUCAAUUUGAUCCUGUCUGUGGCUGGUUCCAGACGAGCGUUAUUUUUCUCUCCUUCACUUGUUUUCAUUUUCUGUGCAACUAUUCUGCUUGGCCUUCACUUUUAGCCUUUACUCUCAUCUUUCCAUUACUCUAGUUCAAAACAUUUCUAAAGCCUUUUUUUUUUAAAAUCCCAACCAACAAGCAACAUCCCAACAGAUUCUCUGUUGCACCUCUCCUUGUUUACCUGGAAAGCUUUGAGCUCUCCCCAUGGAAAGUGCUUUAACUCAAUACCUAUUGCAUGGUGUUGGUUCCAAAUGAGUCAUCUGGUAAACCCAUGAUGAGCUCUAACACAAAUUAUGCAGUUACAAAAGAGAAAAAUUGAAACUCGGGUACAGGAUGAGAAACAGGAAUAGGCUGAGGGAAAGUUGGAGAGACCCUGGAGAAAGACAUGGGGACUGUGAGUUAAUACUUUAUCUCCAAAACACUCUAGUCUUUAUAAGAAGCAGAGAAAAGCCAACUGGACUUAGCAACAUGGUAAAGGACGGGGUUGCAGUUCUUAAAAUUUCUUUGUGGUGAAAAGCACUGGCCCCUCACUCAGACUCAUAAGUUAACUAAAAUCAGGACAAAAGUCUGUCACCUUCCUUCAUUUCACAUCUUUCUCCUGUCUUAAAAUUUCCUGAUCACCUUCCUAAUUAGCUCUGUUCAUGGACAUGUUAAUUACAUAAGGAACAUCUGUCUACAGUCUCAUCUCUGGAGACAGAGAGGAGGCUUAGCAGAUAAAUAUUUGAGGAGAUCUUAGUUUGGUUCCUAGAAUCCACAUCAGAUGACUUCUGUGUUCAUGUGCAAGUGUCACCUCUGCCUAUUGGUCAUGACAUAAUCAUGGGUAGAAUAAUCUGCUUUAUUUAUUUAUUAAUAAUCAUUAAGUGGGCUACCUACCUUUCUGAUCUUGACGUAUCCUGUAUUGGUCAUGGGAUCUGUGACAACUUCCAGUCUUCCCUCAGUGUCUCCCUGUACAAUCUUGUACAGAAUUUUAGAGCUCCCGGUAAAGGGCUCAUCAUCAUCAGUAGCUUGGAUGAUUAAGAUGGUGGAUCCGAUGGCUGUGUCUUCAGAAAGAGUCUUGCUUCCAUACUGAGGAAGAAACAAGAAAGGUAACCGAAGGUCCAUGUCAUUGAGUUUACUGGCCAAAGGGCAAACAACUCAGAGAUCUCAGAAAUCACAGAUGGCUUUAAUACCCAGCAUGGUUUUCCUCUGGAUGAACACACUACAGUUGACUUUAACAUUAUUUGUUCUUAUGAACUGAAAUCCACACCAAGGAACAUAACAACUUAGACAUCCUAGAAGGAUUCUAAAAUAGACUUCCCCUCCAACAUCCACAGGCUUAAUAACUAUGACUAUUUGAAUAAUAACGAUAUCAAUAGCUGUAAUAUGUAAGUGCCUAUGGUGUGACAGAUACUUCUAAUUCCUGAAUCAAUCAAGGGAUAGACAUUAGGAGCCCAAAAUAUUGAAGUCAGAGUUGGCUACCGAUCCUAAACUUGCCGUUUGUUAGUUGAAUAGUGCAGUUAUCUCAUUUCUUUAAACGUGGGCUCACUCAUCUAAUAGGAGAAUGCAACCUGUGGUCACUAGGGGACAAUGUGUGUAGAGUCUCUAAAUGGCUGCUAUACAGUGCUUAUGAAAGAUGAGUGGCAAAAUACACUAUAGGGCCACAAACUUACCAGUGACACUUGACAGAGGAGCCAACAUAGUCAACCCGACCCAGGCUAACACAGCUAGUAUGAUCAAAACCAAACCCCCAAAGCCUGUGUUCCUCACAUUCCCAUAAAGUAUUCUGACUCCCCUGAAGCCCCAAGAUCCACUCUUUCCCACAUCAUGAUCUUAAAAAUGGUAACAGCCAGGGUCCAAGAGAAGAUGCUGGCCACAGAAUAAGCUAGCCUAGCCAGGUUUGCAUCUCCAAGCUUUUACUCCCCACUGAGAAUUCUUCUGCUCAGUCUACUUGACCACUGCCUGCUGAAAGGCAGGGAACACACAACACUAGGGAGUGAAAAAUACCCCAGAGGAUAGAAGCUGGGAAUAAAAUGAAUUCUUUAUUUCAUGCUCGCUUCACCUCAGUGGCUGUUAGACAAGAUACGUUCCAUCACACUUGUUAGGGUUCUGAGCUCUACUGUAAAUUAAUUCCUUCUUUGUUAUAGCCUUGUCUCUGUUUUGAUUUAUGGACAUCAUCAGGAGGCUCUGGGCUUCCUCAAAACUGACUUCUAACAUAACAAUCUAGUCAAGUUGGCUUCUCUCUCUCCCCAGAGCUAAAUAAAUUGAGACAUUCCUUUCAGGGGUACAAUGAUCACACCCCAUUGUGACCACAACCAUUUGCCCUGAUGUCCUUCCUGCCCUGACGUGUGUUACUCUACAUUCAAUGCUAAUUCUUGUGGAUAUAGGGAGCACAUUUCUCUUAGGCUUAAGCCAGAGAUAUUUUUCCUCUUUCCUUUCCUCUUACCUGGUUAAACACAAAAUGAGUUGAAGUCGCCAAUAUGUCUAAUCCCAAACACUUGGCAUAGAUCUAGUAGCUCUAUCUAUUGUUCAUUGUAUGCAAAAUCUACAACAAGCCACAAGCAGCCAUUUAAUUUUCCAUCAGAAAAAGAUUGUGGUUGUAGCUUUUAAGGAGCAUUUAGAAUAAAUGAGCUGCUGACAAGAGUUUAUAAAUAGACACCCCCCAAAUACUCUCUGUAGACCUUAGUGCCCCUAAGGACGUAUGUGAAGAUGGCAGCUGGUUUUUAUUGAUGCAUCAACCAGGCUACCUGGCACAUUGUCUGCAUUUUUAUUUAAAUGAAAGGCUCAUUAAUAUGAUCCAAACCAAAAUAAAACAAAUAGUGACAUCUACUCACGUCUGAUCUUUCAAAGAUGGGAAUCUGAUCGUUGAUAUCAAUAACGUUGACUUGAAGAGAACAGAGAGUCUUGAAAUCUGGAAACCAAAGUCAUGUCACAGAAUUCUCAUUGGAAAUCAUGCACUGGCAGCAGGACUUGGUAAGGAAAGUAUUGGUGAGAGACAUGCAUGACAACUGCUGCCACAAUUCCACAGUUCAUGUGAAUGGAGGCUGCUCUGCCCCCCACCUCACCCACAAGCAGGUCAACGAGAAGAGAUGGGAGCCAGACUAGCCCUAGAGAUGCUCUCCUGAGCACCACACUGCCCUAUCCUUGGGAAAGCUUUUCAACAACCAGGAUGGUUGCUUUUCUCUGAAGUAGCUCCCUUACCUGAGAGGUGAAUAUUAUAUAAUCUCUGAUACCCAAAGCAAAACUGUCACUGUGUACAAUUCUGCUGAGCAUCCUACAGACUGCCUUCCCCUCUCUGAGUGCAUCUGUCCAGCAUCAAUUCCAGCCAGUAUGGUGAGGAGGUUCAAGGUCACCUGCUUUCUCUCGGGAUAAACUGGCAUGAUUCACCUCCAAGCGAGGCUAAGAGGUAGCUCACAGAAAUGGCCCAGGCUUUGAGGGUGGUUUGACAAUUUGAGGACUAAUUGGAACCAGUCGGUGGAUCCUAGAUGCAAGGUGAGCUUGGCCUGCAAGUCUACUAUGGGACAGUAUCUAGGAAGACCAUCACAAUGACAGUAGACAGUACAUCCCUUUGGAUUGUUAACUUGUGUAUCCAUCUUUCUUGACAAAUAGGGUACUCCCUUAAGGACAGACACUUGGUCGGUUUAUCUGUAUGUCCCUAAUGCUUCAUCUGGUACCUUCGCAAGGCAAGUGAUUAGAUACUGAAGGCACGGGUGAGAGUCAGUGUGAGAGUCUGCCACCUCUCCAUGGACAGCGUGAUAUAAAUUUAUCUCAUUGAACCUCUUAACAUAGUGAUAAACAGCAUCAGACCUUCAUUGUGUGUCAAUUCACUAGCUACCUGACUGACAGGCAGUUUGUACUGGAACCUGCUUAACUCACUCUCCCAGCAUCCAAGGGAAAGGGAAAAACGUAAGAAAUACAUAUGAACCACUGGUCCUUUCCUUUCCACACCUAUGUAAACUGUGUUCCUCAGAAAACAAUUACAGAAUUAUUUCAUGAGCCAGUUACCUCCUAGGACUCUGAGUACCCCAGAGAUAACAGUACAUUUGUCUGUGGAUGUGGAGAUGCGUUUGAGAAUGGGAAGUUCCCGGGAGCUUCUUAAAGAUUCCUCUGCUUCAGGGAGAGGAGAGGUUAAACAGGACCCACUCUGACAGUAUACAGGGAUUAAGGGAAAAGGUCUCCUGUUGUUGUCUAGCGGGCAAUUUGAGGCUGGCCAGAAUUGGCAGAACUCUCUCUCCAAAGACACAUUUCUCUACUUCUUUCAGACACAGAUCAUUUUCAGCCUGGAAGUAAGGAUAAGGCUAGAAUUUUUCCUGUCCUGUAAUUACAGUAGUCGUGAGACUGUGCCUGGUGACUGUAACAGUUGAACUGAUGGUGUCUGCACUGUUAGGCUGUGACCAACACUACGCUUGUGCCUCAUCUUCCAUUGGCUGCCACCAGACAAUUACUGAGCAAGUAGUGAAGCAAAGACAGGCCUAUCCCCAGAGACAAUGCCCUGCAGAAUUCCAGACAGCCAUUCGGAACUCUUCUUAGAGUGCUUAGUAGUCUAGAACAUUGUUAUCAAAACUCCUUCCAUCACAAUCAAGCCACUAUUGCCAUCUGGGGAUGCCCUAGAUUUCAAAGUUUCCUUUCUAUUUUUCUUAAAGGCAUUCCCUUUAAGAUGGUCACUGAAUCCCUCUUGAUACCUAGUUCCCAUAGGACCAAAGACAAUACAAUGUCUCCUGAUCUGAACCUCUAGCUCUUGAGAAAAUCUGGAACUUCCUCACAUUCGCAAAGAUAGCAUAGAAUGCUUCUGGCAUGAGAAGAGCCUCAUGAAUCCUAAGUAGGAGGAAAACAGGUCUUCUCCAGCUCCAUUACUGCUGGAAGGUGAGGCAGGAGAACUGCCACAGGCCUCCAGUGUCACCAGGAUGGAUCUAAGACGAGGGCAAUAUUUUCUUCAAUGCUACCAGCAGGCUCUGAGGCUUGACUCCAAGACCACCCAGCAAGCAACCAGCCAUGCCAUUACCCACACCCAUGGAAACGUCCUUAGCCCACAGACCUCACAGGCAAGGCUACAUUGUACAUAUAGCUGUAUAGCUAGCACGCUGCAGAGAGGGAGAGUCAAUUCCAGGGUUCAAAGUUGCAUCCUUGUAUCGGGGCAACAAAUCUCCUUCCCUCCCAUUAACAUGACUAUUGGGGCUAUAAAGAUUUCAAAAUGAAUGUGUACAAGGUGAGUCACCAAACCACACCGUCAGAGCUGAGAAGGACGGCAUGGUGGAAGUGGCAAAAGGACAGUUUUCAUCUACAGAAAGGAAGGCAAGGGACCUCAGGCAAGAAGAAAACGAGGCCACCACCAGUAAAGUGCCACAGCCAACGGUUCAUUCUCUCUGAUCUCGAUGCUGCUUCCUAACUCAUACUCAUGCAAUCACCUCCUAUCUCUGUGUAGGUGCUGAGAAAAACCUGUUAAGGUGGCCUCAUUCAUUAUGGAGGGUGGGUCCAUACAGGCGUUGGACAUUUGAAAUACAUACAACUAAUGACUCUUACGUAGUCAGAGCGUAGGCUGUGCUCCGUAAUUUAAAAGCUCCUCUAUGUCGAAUGCUAGGAUUGGACCCAUUCCACAGGACAGAAAACUGAGGUUUAAAGCUUAAAGCUACUCAGUCCAUUUCCUAUCAUGGGCAAGUGGUAGCCACAAACUAGAACCUGGCUCUGACAUUACUGUCCUUCUAUAAUAAUGUAGGUAGGAAAGACAGGAGAGCAAUGGUCUUCACUCAGUCCCAGGCUGAACGCAGUCUCCUCUUUAACCUUGAAGGAGGCUCUGGAAAGCUUGGUUCAGUUCUAUAAUAUGGAAGGUGGGGGGAUAAAAAUAUAUUAUAUAAUGUGUUAAUAUAUAUGUGUGUGUAUAAUGUAUAUUAAUAAAAAACAUUAAAAUUUUUAAACUGUAUAGGAGGAUUUUGAGGACUUAAAAUUUGGUGUGUUGUUUUUGGGUACAAGAAAAAAAGGAAGCAAGAUUUUUAGGUGCAACAAUCUACAAACUUCCUUUUGUGGAAAAGAGCAAAAAGACACCCGAGAUCUUGGCUCAUAAGACAGUGAAACUUUGGACAUCCUUCUGCACCACAAGAACCAUAAACGAUGGCUCAGGAAGAGAGUGUGGAACUGAAGAGUAAGAUUACCAUGAGCGGGUGACCCGAGAUCAUUAUGUAAAGCCAAGGACAGCAUGCUCGGUUGACAAAUGCUACACGUUUUCUUUUAUAUGCUGAACCUAGCCUCACAAUUCAAUGUGUGUGUGUGUGUGUGUGUGUGUGUGUGUGUGUGUGUGUGUGUGUGUGUGUGUGUGUGUGUGCUUCUAUAUUUGUGUCUACAAGUCAGGAAAUUGGAAAGACAAUUAUGAGGGGGAAGGAAGAGAUCUUGAGGGACGUGGGCGAUAGAGCAAAGUAAAACACAGAAUGGGAAAGCAGAGAAGGAAACCCACAGGGAGGGGAAGGAAACCGGCCGGAGCUAACCUUACAUGUUAAUCACUUUGAGAUUAAAACCAAUUAUGCAGCUAGGUAAUCUAGAGCUGGUUCAGGGUGUACACGAGGAGGUGGCUGGUUGCACACAACAUCACAUCCUUUGACCUUAGGGGCUUGAACAGCAUAGAUCUGGUAAGUGUAGAAGUCCCUAGACACUGCAGUGCUUGGGCUUAACCACCGUUUUAACAUGAGCCAAAUCUGCACAAUCAUUUAUCAACCUACAGUUUCUUAUUCCAAAGAAAAGAACAGCACUGAGCCAUUGGUGGUCCCACUCCCCAAAUUUCUCAGUAUCCAGGUUCUUCACCCGCUCUGACAACUCUCUUAGGUUUGCUUAUCUGCCACUCCCUCCCCACACCCUGGCCACUGUACCCUUUGCCCAGAUCACUGGAUCUGUGUCCUGUGCUAGCUGCUCUCCCCACCUGCCAGGGGCCCAGGCACAGACAAUGGACAGCAGGUAUUUGCCUAACAAAUACCUCCUUGAGAGCUCAUCUCUCACAACUGUUCCUGCUUCUCUCUCGCCCCUCAGCAGGGUCCUACUCACCCCUUUACUUACGGACUUCUAUGUGCACCAGACAGGAUGCUAGGAACUCAGUUCCCACACAAGAAGCACAGCUAGACCCUGUUCCUACUUCCUGCAGGAAGUCUUCCUUGAUUUCCAGACAGGGGCCUUUUCCUUUUGCAUUUCCAAUUUUUAUUAUUUAUCUUUUAUUUGUUCAUCCUUUAUUUAUAUUAUUUACUUAUCCUUUAUUUAUCAGUGCUACUGACUCCCCUAAAAAAUAGAGGUCUUGUUACUUUUUAACCUCCCAGAGCGUUCCAUACCAUAACUUGCUUACAUUAAGACCUCAACAGAUGUUUGUUAAAUUCUACAGUAUCCAUCAUUGAAUAAAUAUCAGAAUAAAUAUUCUCAUAAAA